Molecule: ribosomal RNA, 516 nt
Filed under: uncultured bacterium
Lineage: Bacteria
Description: bacterial SSU rRNA
Rfam family: Bacterial small subunit ribosomal RNA
Source: RNAcentral
GAGUUUGAUCGUGGCUCAGAUUGAACGCUGGCGGCAGGCCUAACACAUGCAAGUCGGGCGGUAGAGAGAAGCUUGCUUCUCUUGAGAGCGGCGGACGGGUGAGUAAUGCCUAGGAAUCUGCCUGGUAGUGGGGGAUAACGCUCGGAAACGGACGCUAAUACCGCAUACGUCCUACGGGAGAAAGCAGGGGACCUUCGGGCCUUGCGCUAUCAGAUGAGCCUAGGUCGGAUUAGCUAGUUGGUGAGGUAAUGGCUCACCAAGGCGACGAUCCGUAACUGGUCUGAGAGGAUGAUCAGUCACACUGGAACUGAGACACGGUCCAGACUCCUACGGGAGGCAGCAGUGGGGAAUAUUGGACAAUGGGCGAAAGCCUGAUCCAGCCAUGCCGCGUGUGUGAAGAAGGUCUUCGGAUUGUAAAGCACUUUAAGUUGGGAGGUAAGGGCAGUAAAUUAAUACUUUAGCUGUUUUGACGUUUACCGACAGAAUAAGCACCGGCUAACUCUGUGCCAGCCGCCG